GACGAACGCUGGCGGCGUGCUUAACACAUGCAAGUCGAACGGAAAGGCCCUGCUUGCAGGGUACUCGAGUGGCGAACGGGUGAGUAACACGUGGGUGAUCUGCCCUGCACUUCGGGAUAAGCCUGGGAAACUGGGUCUAAUACCGGAUAGGAGCCAUUUUUAGUGUGAUGGUUGGAAAGUUUUUUCGGUGUAGGAUGAGCUCGCGGCCUAUCAGCUUGUUGGUGGGGUAAUGGCCUACCAAGGCGGCGACGGGUAGCCGGCCUGAGAGGGUGGACGGCCACAUUGGGACUGAGAGACGGCCCAGACUCCUACGGGAGGCAGCAGUGGGGAAUAUUGAACAAUGGGCGCAAGCCUGAUGCAGCGACGCCGCGUGGGGGAUGACGGCCUUCGGGUUGUAAACUCCUUUCGCUAGGGACGAAGCUUUUUGUGACGGUACCUAGAUAAGAAGCACCGGCUAACUACGUG
RNAcentral lists this ribosomal RNA (465 nucleotides) under uncultured bacterium. RNAcentral describes it as "partial 16S ribosomal RNA". It matches the Rfam family "Bacterial small subunit ribosomal RNA", at positions 28 to 507 of the family's 1533-position model. The record is from RNAcentral.